Molecule: ribosomal RNA, 397 nt
Filed under: uncultured bacterium
Lineage: Bacteria
Description: bacterial SSU rRNA
Rfam family: Bacterial small subunit ribosomal RNA
Source: RNAcentral
CGGAACGUCGCCCGUGGAGGUGGGGGAAUAACGCAGACGAAAGCUACGCUAAUACCGCAUAUUCUGUGAGCAGGAAAGCAGGGGAUCGCAAGACCUUGCGCUUUGGGAGCGGCCGAUGUCGGAUUAGCUAGUUGGUGGGGUAAAGGCUUACCAAGGCGACGAUCCGUAGCGGGUCUGAGAGGAUGAUCCGCCACACUGGGACUGAGACACGGCCCAGACUCCUACGGGAGGCAGCAGUGGGGAAUUUUGGACAAUGGGCGGAAGCCUGAUCCAGCCAUGCCGCGUGAGUGAAGAAGGCCUUCGGGUUGUAAAGCUCUUUCGGUGGGGAAGAAAUUGCUUGGGUUAAUACCCUGAGUAGAUGACGGUACCUGCACAAGAAGCACCGGCUAACUACGUG